CAACACCCCACUCGUAUCGCUCUCCUCCCAUACCUUCUCGACCAACGCCACAUUAUCCAUCCAUACCUUUUCCGGCCCCACUCUCAACAAAUGCGUCAUUGAGCGAUGUCGAUCCUGACAGCUCGUUGAGAGCACCGCCGCAAGAAAAGCAGGUAAAGCCGUAUGAUUUGGCGGACGAUCUUGGGUGAGCGGAAUAAGUGAGUCUAACAAAUUGAGGAGCUCGUAUCGCGCAUUACGCAAGACGGGAUGUAAACCUCCAACUUUAUGGACAGACUCGUACAGUAACACGAGCGCCGAGAGGCGCCACAAUUCACCCACCACGAUCCUCUCCAUUCUCACUCCGCUUUCCAUUCCUUCGCUCAUAUUCAUCUGAUGAGGCUGCCAUCCUCUGAUCGCUUUUUCCAAUUCGUCCGCUUGGGACUUGACGGAAAGAGAGGAUGAGGAGGAUACGGAAGAGGAAAGAUUGAUGAUUCCGGCAAGGAGGAUGAGGAUGGAGUCGGGAAGACCGAGGUGGAAGGACCAUGGCUCUUCCUGGGAGGGCGAAGGAGGAUUCGGAUCGGUAGGGAUGUCUGACCAAAAGUUAAAUCUACGCAGCUCGUUAGUGCGUUUUCGCGGGUGAAGUCCAUGUCAUGAGGAAGAGGACAUACAUGGUUUUACGGCCUCUUUCGACGAUACAUCGUCCUAUAUCCGCAGCUGCAAACAUCCUUACCGACCAUGUCUCUGCCGUUCGUAGUUGGGAUAAUGUUAUUGGAGGGUGAUUACUUCUCAUGCCAGAGCGAACGAGUCGGUCACCCAGUGCGAGUACGUUAUACGAUUGUGAAGCACCCGAUCGGAUAUACUCCGCAUGUCGAAGGUUCAUCACGCCCCAUAAUCUAAUUGAUCGAAAUAAGCUCUUUUUGCCCCGGCUUGGGCGAUAAAAUGUCAAAGGAACUCACAGCUCGGCAAGAUGAGACAGGCUUGUGACGAUAACCUCUCUCAGCGACCUCGUCUCAUCUUCAGUCCAUUUCAAACACUCUUCAUCCGCAUUCAACCUCGUUACCACCUUUUGCUCAUACUUUCUCAUCCUCCUUUCCAAUUGCCCAGCUUCAUACGUCUUUUCCUUCCCUUUCCCUUUAGGAUCACGGGGGAGAUGAAUGUUGAAUUCUGAUAUGAGAUCGGGAAUGGGAAAGUCUUGGAGAUUGUUCAUGUUCCCUGAAGAUUUGGAGAAAAGAUCGGUGAAUUGAGAUAAAGGGUAUACCUGAGACAGGGACGAGGAGUAUAGUGUCAUGUAUGCUCUUGCGAGGGCAUGUCUACUGAAUUGCAUGACAGCUGGUCGGGCGUUAGCGGUCUCACCUUUCCGAAGCUAAGGCUUGCAAAAAGACGACAAGACUUACCGCUAUUCUCGUUGUAAGUCCGUAAUCGUGACUGAGCGCUUUCUCGGAUGGAAGUGGGAACUCCGACAAGCCACGAUUCGACGACGCGCACAUCUGAAGUGAGAUACUCCGUCCUUCAUAUGCUUGUCUGUCAUAUUCGGGCUAACCCCGUUAACAACCUGACCUACUCCGCCCUGACUAGGUCCGUUUGAUCCUGGUUGGUUCUGCACUCCAAAUACCCCAUCAUUCCACAAUCCACCGCCGACCUGAACCUCACCCCCGCCCGUGCUUCCACUCCCACUCCCAUUUACAGUGGCAGUCGCAUUCCCAUUCGGACCCUCAUUCCAUGGCAUGAUCGAAUCAAGUCCCAACGCCCCGCACUCUGUCGAGCUCGCCAAGAAAGUUGAAGGUUGAUUGCCAAACAUUGACGCCCAAUCAAGGAGGGACUGCGAGUGAUCGAUAGUCAAGAAUGCUGUCGGAUCGUGGUGUGGGGCAGUCGGAGGUGCGUGCGUGGGGUUGUACCAUGCGAAUGGGACAUUGGUCGGCUGCUGGGUUGAUGACGAAGUAGUGCCAAGGGGGUUGGGAGGUGUUUGGUGGUUAUGGUUUGAAGACGAGCCAGGAGUUGAAUUUGAUAAGAACUGUUGCCCUGCCGCUGCCGCUGCCUGCAUGGAGGUUUGAUCCACAUGAGAAUGGUUAUGAGUGGCAGAGACUGAGCCUGAGGGUUGCGCAUCCGUAGACGACCACUGACUCUCGCUGCUCUCCCGCUGCAAGUUAUUUUCGC
This 2133-nucleotide small RNA is filed under the name Cryptococcus neoformans H99. Its description in RNAcentral is "Cryptococcus neoformans var. grubii H99 hypothetical RNA". Lineage: Eukaryota; Fungi; Basidiomycota; Tremellomycetes; Tremellales; Cryptococcaceae. The record is from RNAcentral.